RNAcentral lists this ribosomal RNA (297 nucleotides) under uncultured bacterium. Its description in RNAcentral is "partial 16S ribosomal RNA". It matches the Rfam family "Bacterial small subunit ribosomal RNA", at positions 334 to 628 of the family's 1533-position model. The record is from RNAcentral.
AAGUCCUACGGGGGGCAGCAGUGAGGAAUAUUGGUCAAUGGGCGGAAGCCUGAACCAGCCAAGUCGCGUGAGGGAAUAAGGCCCUACGGGUCGUAAACCUCUUUUGCCGGGGAGCAAGGGUCGGGACGCGUCCCGGCCCGGAGAGUACCCGGAGAAAAAGCAUCGGCUAACUCCGUGCCCGCAGCCGCGGUAAUACGGAGGAUGCGAGCGUUAUCCGGAUUUAUUGGGUUUAAAGGGUGCGUAGGCGGGCUUUUAAGUCAGCGGUAAAAAUUCGGGACUCAACCCCGUCCGGCCGUU